UUAAAGUCAUUUUGACCUCUAUGACCUUAAAUGCAUCACCAAGUUUUUCCAUUUCCUGAGCUUAUUCCAUGAAUGUUACCACAGCCUCACUGUUGAGCUAUACUCUCCCAUUACCUCAGCCACAUUACAGAAACACAAAGGCUUUGCAAUCCUGAACAAUAUCAAGAGUAUUUCCUUCCUUGUCUUGUCCUUACCCCUUCCCAUCUGAGCUGUGCAACACUGAAAACCUCCUCUUAUUUUGCAAAGGGAAAUUGAGUCUGAUAUGAUCAUGGGAAAUCCUGCACUGAAUCUUGGACACUGGACAAAAGCAUUUGUUCAAACACUUAAUGACACAACAGGGCAGUGCUACAAGAAGCUAUAAAAGGUCUUGUGCAUUAGUUUGUCUGUGGCAGACAGUUUCUGGACUUGCUCCUUUUAUGGUCGCUAGCCUUCCCUCUAGUCCUUCAGCAGGCCAGUAGUCAGCUUCCUUUGUUUGUUUUCUGGUUAACCAAAUCCUUCCUCUUACUGAUGAGAGGUAACAAAGGGCUUGCUUUAAUCUGGAAUCCUUUGCAGCUUUUCUUUGAGUCCCCCAAAGAACCAACUAUGAGUCCGCCUUAGCUCUACUAGCUCAAGAGUAAGUAGUUUUGAGGUCUCCAAAAUUUGUUAGUCCAUUUGUUAGAUUGGUGCUUCAAGCAACAGUGACAGAAAAAGAAAGUUCAUAUAAACUAUUUUUGUCACAUUUUAUCUACAGCUUUAUCUAAAGCAUCCUUGAGAUAAAGCACAUUCACUUAACCGUCAGCAGAGGACUCAACUCAAACAAACUAUUACAACAUUUGAUUCUACAUUAGUAAUUUGUCAAUGAUGACAAAUGCUGAAAUCCAGUUGUAAAUAAGACCUGGAUGCUAUCACAGGAAGAAACAGACUGGAGGACAAACAAGCCCCUUGACGUACUUCCUAGGGGAGCUGAGAGGCCACAGACGUCAAAUUUUGCAGCGAUUGGACCCUCUUACCCGCUGGGUCAUUUCCACCUUUAAAAGCAAUCUGAACACCUGACCCACCCUUCCACCUCUUUGUGUUCAGCUCAACUCCCUAGAAACAACUCUUUACAGCCUUGAGUCAAUCUGAAGGGUUGCUAAAAUUAAGCCAGCCGUGCACACACAGCCACUUUUGAAGUGCUAUCUUUCUGCUGCAGUCAGAAAUGUGACCUGCAAAGAUAUGAAGGAUCCCUGCCCGUACAGUUUCAGAAUAAAUAAAAAAAGCUUUGAUCAGAGGUAUUGCAUUAUUAAUUUUUACAGCUGAAAAACUAUUUUAAAUAUGUACAAGAAAUAUAUAAACCCCCACCACAUUAGACAUACAGUAACAAAACUAUACAUGAUUUAACAGUAAUGAAAUUUUGGAGAGGUUGCUUAACAACCAGUGUAGAUAACUGACUGUUCCCUGCAAAGGAACAGAUAAUAUUUAAGUACUUUCAUUGCCAACAUCAUGGUUAUUUUUAUUUGUAAACUGUCAAAAUGAUUUUUAAAAAAAAAGUAAUUAAAAUCAGUGAAGCUGAGGGGAAAAUGCCUCAAGUGGUUGUUUUUCUCGGGUGCAAAAUGAAAGUCAGCAUUGUCCUCGAUGUUAGUCUUUUGCUGUGUUGAUUAAAUGUGCCCAUCAUUAAAAACUAUCAUUGAUCAUUUUUAUGUCUUAUUGAUAAUGAUCAGGUCACACUGACAUGAUGUCUCCCUUAAGUGUGAAUAGAUUAACAUUGAAAGAGGGAUUAAAGACUAUUUCUCUGCUCCAGAAGGUUAGCUAUCAUGGUUAUGAAAAUGCUGAAGUUCUCAUUCAGGGUUAACCAGUAUUUAGAAAUGUUACCAGGAGUUUUUUUUAGACUGGUCACCUGGUUAAUUAUCAUAUGCUUGUAUGUGUGUAUAACUGUUUGACAGAGUGUAACCUCAAAUGACAAACAUGACCCUACUACUGGAUAGUUUAUGUCCUGUUCAUAAUGACCAGUAUCCCCACAAUCUUGAAAAUCUGUCAUCAUGACCAUGACCUGAAGUUAUGUGUCGUGUUCCCAGAUUUCAUGGUUUAUUUUAGAACUCCAGAUCAACUAAUCCAGUGAUGACUUUGGCUGCUGUCCAGUCAGCGUUUACACUCAGAAUAAAUCUGUGUGUGUGUGUGUGUGUGUGUGUGUGUGUGUGUGUGUGUGUGUGUGUGUGUGUGUGUGUGUGUGUGUGUGUGUGUGUGUGUGUGUUUCAGAAAAUGGGCAGAGGGUAAGCGGCAGACCAGAAGCUUCUCUGGGAAAACACAAACUCCAAACAGUACAAACCACUAGAGUGCAGACUGGUCGAGACCUGGAGCAGGACCCUGCAUUCCAUAGAAACCCCCCGCCUCAAGCCUUCCACUUCCACUACAUGCUGAGAGAGAGAGAGGGAGUGAUGAAAAGAUGAGAACAAAGGUAGGAAGACAAGGAGCAGGACACAUACUCGUCGCAGAGACACAGUGAUGGUUUUCCUGAUGUGACUCAGAGAGAUAUGAAUAGGAUGACUCAGAUGUCAGAGGUCCCUCAGCGGGACAUUCCUUCUCAGGACCUGCAUCUGCAGGAUGUUCAUAAGUCUGAAGACAGAAGCAGCAGCUUCCUGCUUCAUGACUCAUUUUUCUGUAUCAUACAUCUGUGUCAUUAUGUCAUUUUGGCAGUGAACACAGAAAUGAUUAAAAAUUUCCUCUACAGGGAGUACUGGUUUAGGUCAGUUUAAUGUAUUGCAGCCCAGGUUUAAAUCCCACCAGUUAACCUUUACCACAUCUUCCCCAAAACACAGAGCAACAAAGUCAUACUGGUGAGUUACAGUAACGGUUGUCAUUUUAACUUCAGAAAGAACUUUAUAAUAUACAAAUGUUUAAAUGAAGCAGAAUUAUUUUCUUUUCUCUUCAGCUCUAAACUUAACUUAUCUUAACCUCUGAUCAUAACUGAAGCCACUCACUUCCUGUCGGUUAACUCCAAAGCAGUGACCUGCCUUAUCCUUUAGGGGGUCCCUAAAUUUAUUCCAUGGAAAUAAUCUGGUAUGUGAAUUUAUAUUGCAAAAGUGAACAAAUUGUAGCUGACUGAUGUUUGACUUGUUACUAAAAGAUAGAUUUAAAACCAAAUUUCAGACAGGGAUGACUUCACAAAACUGAGAUUUUUCUUUGCUGUGGGUCUGAUAGUGGUUUAUAAUCCUCAUUUUCCAUCAGUUAAAAGUGUAACAAGCAAUGACAACAAGUUGCAUUUCUAAACUGAAGUUCUUAACCUCUACUUUUCAUCUCCUUUUUGUCUUGGAAUCAUCCAGAAAUCUUAUCAGGCUGAGACACUAUAGAAACAUGUCAGUGGGUGGAUUUAUUAUGAUUAAUGUCCCCUAUUAUAUAUAAUCACCAUGGCGAAGCGAUGUUCAAGUCUUGGUCCAUGUCUUUAUCAAAGUGUCUCUUUGUCACAGUCUCUGCUGUUGUGACGUCGUUUAGCAGAAAUUCAAAUUUCUCUCCCACUCUCCCCCUGAGCCCCCUCACCAUAUCACUGCAUGCUCAAAAGCCCCCCACUCAGACAAUAGCCGUCUCUCAUGCCCAGUAGGCUUCCCCCCAAAACAACUUGCUCUCGGGUCUGGCCUCAGUGGCUUGGAAAGAAUGACUUCUUUUCCUCUCUUUCCUUCCUUCAGGCUUUCCUUUGCCCAUGAGCAGUGCAGUGUGAGCCCUGGUGAGAUAAACAGAGACUGUGUGUAGUCAUCAAUCACAAAAGAAGGGCACACACAGGGGUGCAUGCUAAGGAUAGUCAAAUCUGUGUGGAAUCUGGAGUGGAAAACUUAAAGAGGCAAAGUUCAAGACAAAAGCUGAGAGUGAGCAAUUCACAAGAGAUAAAGAUGUUUAUCUGAGAAGCCAGGGGCCUUCACAUUUUGGUAUACACUUUCCAUUUAAAAUACCAUAAUGCAUCUUUGUCACAUAUUAGAGCUGUCCAUCCCAUAAAGAGUGGUCCGUGUCAACAAUAAAGAUGUCCCAUGUGCUGUAACACUGUAAAAUCACACACAAGGACAUCACUAUUGUAGCGUUGUGUGGUUUAUUGUAAACGUUACAGCCCCACAGUGUAACAUCAAUGUCAAAAAGGCUGAGAGUGAAUACAGCACGGAUUCAGACACAGCAUAUUCAGAAACACUAAAAUACAAUCAAAUAAGACACCCCUUAAAUAGAUAUUUGUUCUUUCUUUGCUUUUAUUUUCGUGUGAAUAUGAUAAAGCGAUGUAACCUAUAAUGUCGUAAGGAGGUGCUAGUUGGUAGAUUUUCUUCCUCUGCACAGAUGCCAGCUGUUGCUUCCUGUUUUUACGCCAGGCUUACCCAACAAGCUGUUUGUGGCAUCUUUUGGAACAGACUCAUAUCCGAAUUUUAUCCGUUGAGUAAUCCGAUUUUUCCCCCAAAGAAAAUUAACAAAUGAGAAAUUUUGUCAUCCACAGGAAACGCUGCUAGAACAAACUAAUCGUUAAAAGAGAACAAAGGUUCCCCUAUUGUCUCAACAUUUUGAAUGUAUGUUUUAUGUCAAGUUUAGGGCUUUGUAGUCCCUGGGAACUCUGUGGGGGAGGGGGUAGUAGUUUUCCUGCUUCUGUUUUCCUUUUUCAGCCUCAUUCCCAAAGCCA
Xyrichtys novacula (pearly razorfish) is the source of this 4603-nucleotide non-coding RNA. NCBI's taxonomy places the organism in Eukaryota, Metazoa, Chordata, Actinopteri, Labriformes, Labridae. The record is from the annotation of a GenBank genome assembly.